GGGCUGCAGCUCAGUGGUAGAGCAUCUGCUUUUCAUUCAUAAAGUCCCAGGUUCGAUUCCUGACGGCAUCU
Non-coding RNA from Podarcis lilfordi (Lilford's wall lizard), 71 nucleotides. The record is from the annotation of a GenBank genome assembly. Lineage: Eukaryota; Metazoa; Chordata; Lepidosauria; Squamata; Lacertidae.